RNAcentral lists this ribosomal RNA (259 nucleotides) under uncultured bacterium. RNAcentral's name for it is "partial 16S ribosomal RNA". It matches the Rfam family "Bacterial small subunit ribosomal RNA", at positions 1244 to 1500 of the family's 1533-position model. The record is from RNAcentral.
AAGAAGCAAGACCGUGAGGUGGAGCAAAACUCAAAAACUUAGUCUCAGUUCGGAUUGUAGGCUGAAACUCGCCUACAUGAAGCUGGAGUUGCUAGUAAUCGCGAAUCAGCAUGUCGCGGUGAAUAUGUUCCCGGGCCUUGUACACACCGCCCGUCACACCAUGAGAGUUGGCAAUACCCAACGUACGUGAUCUAACCCGCAAGGGAGGAAGCGUCCUAAGGUAGGGUCAGCGAUUGGGGUGAAGUCGUAACAAGGUAGC